UGGGGAAUAUUGGACAAUGGGCGAAAGCCUGAUCCAGCCAUGCCGCGUGUGUGAAGAAGGUCUUCGGAUUGUAAAGCACUUUAAGUUGGGAGGAAGGGCAUUAACCUAAUACGUUAGUGUUUUGACGUUACCGACAGAAUAAGCACCGGCUAACUCUGUGCCAGCAGCCGCGGUAAUACAGAGGGUGCAAGCGUUAAUCGGAAUUACUGGGCGUAAAGCGCGCGUAGGUGGUUUGUUAAGUUGGAUGUGAAAUCCCCGGGCUCAACCUGGGAACUGCAUUCAAAACUGACUGACUAGGGUAUGGUAGAGGGUGGUGGAAUUUCCUGUGUAGCGGUGAAAUGCGUAGAUAUAGGAAGGAACACCAGUGGCGAAGGCGACCACCUGGACUAAUACUGACACUGAGGUGCGAAAGCGUGGGGAGCAAACA
Molecule: ribosomal RNA, 427 nt
Filed under: uncultured bacterium
Lineage: Bacteria
Description: partial 16S ribosomal RNA
Rfam family: Bacterial small subunit ribosomal RNA
Source: RNAcentral